RNAcentral lists this ribosomal RNA (458 nucleotides) under uncultured bacterium. Its description in RNAcentral is "bacterial SSU rRNA". It matches the Rfam family "Bacterial small subunit ribosomal RNA", at positions 28 to 464 of the family's 1533-position model. The record is from RNAcentral.
GACGAACGCUGGCGGCGUGCCUAAUACAUGCAAGUCGAACGCUUUGUCUUUCAUCGGAGCUUGCUCCACCGAAAGAAAAAGAGUGGCGAACGGGUGAGUAACACGUGGGUAACCUGCCCAUCAGAAGGGGAUAACACUUGGAAACAGGUGCUAAUACCGUAUAACACUAUUUUCCGCAUGGAAGAAAGUUGAAAGGCGUUUUUGCGUCACUGAUGGAUGGACCCGCGGUGCAUUAGCUAGUUGGUGAGGUAACGGCUCACCAAGGCAACGAUGCAUAGCCGACCUGAGAGGGUGAGCGGCCACACUGGGACUGAGACACGGCCCAGACUCCUACGGGAGGCAGCAGUAGGGAAUCUUCGGCAAUGGACGAAAGUCUGACCGAGCAACGCCGCGUGAGUGAAGAAGGUUUUCGGAUCGUAAAACUCUGUUGUUAGAGAAGAACAAGGAUGAGAGUAAAA